UCAAAGCACGGUAAUCAACAAGAGCUCGACUGACUAAAUGAUGUGCCAAAUUGAACAAGGCCUGGCGCUGGAGCUAGGGCACCUUAGGGCGGAACGGGCGGAGGGGUUUGGCUGCUGCCAUGUGUCAAAAAGUAUGCAAUAAACUGUCAAAAUGCCACACGGCAAAUGACAAGAAAAUUGUUGGUAUUUUCUGAUGAUUUCCUUUUCUUGUCGUCGUUUUUUUUUUUUUUUGCGGAAACAUUUAAUUUUGGGCCUCAACUGCGGUGGACCAGUUGGCUUUUUAUCGUAUGGCAUAAUAGCAGUUGGUUGUUGCGGGCUGCAGGAAAUGUGCCCGAGUGUGUCCUGUCCGAGCGGAUGUGAAAGGUACGGCUGAAUGCAGUGUAGGUACAGUGGUCGCUCGCCUUGGCGAACCCAAUAUUAAAUUGAACAAAAUUUGAAUUUGAAAAUAAAGUAAAGUAAAAUGUAAAGAAAUAUUUCUAAGUGCGAAUUGUAGGUAAAUUAAAAAAAAAGUAUUACAUUGAUUCGAUUCGAAAUUGCAAAAGA
This is a non-coding RNA of Drosophila virilis, 543 nucleotides long. NCBI's taxonomy places the organism in Eukaryota, Metazoa, Arthropoda, Insecta, Diptera, Drosophilidae. The record is from RefSeq and is a predicted model, not a curated record.